GCCCGCAUGGCUUAAUGGUAAAGCGCUUCACUAGUAAUGAAGAGAUUCUCAGUUCGAUUCUGAGUGUGGGCA
Molecule: transfer RNA, 72 nt
Filed under: Ascosphaera apis ARSEF 7405
Lineage: Eukaryota; Fungi; Ascomycota; Eurotiomycetes; Onygenales; Ascosphaeraceae
Description: tRNA-Thr (AGT) (tRNA-Thr-AGT-1 1 to 8)
Rfam family: tRNA
About the family: Transfer RNA (tRNA) molecules are approximately 80 nucleotides in length. Their secondary structure includes four short double-helical elements and three loops (D, anti-codon, and T loops).
Source: Rfam by way of RNAcentral